Molecule: long non-coding RNA, 1600 nt
Organism: Apodemus sylvaticus (European woodmouse)
Lineage: Eukaryota; Metazoa; Chordata; Mammalia; Rodentia; Muridae
Exons: 4
Source: RefSeq, a predicted model, not a curated record
CCCAGACAGUUGGUAAAUGAUGAGCUUCAAGGGCAGAUGACGGAAAGCUCACAGAGGGAGGUACAGGAAGUCCUGUAUGUGAGUGCCUGGAGGUGGAGUAGAUAGGCGGUCUGGAAAGUCCAGAGCAGCGGUUGAGCAGAAGCACAAGCCAGGACCAGAAGGACCUGCUCCUCUGUCUAAGAACUGGGGGGAGGAGAGGGCCACCGAAGAAGAAGUCCACGCCUCUGAGAGAAAAGAUGCUGUGAAGCCCCAGCUUCGGGAAGAUAUAUUUUCAUCGCAGUGAGGCCAAAAGGCUGUAGAUCGGCCUGGAGAAGCAGGUAUAGAGAGCCCAUAAGGAGAUACAACGGCAAGCCGAGGAUCAAGUCAGGAGAGACAGCAGAGCUGGCCGUCGCGCCCCAAACCUGUACAGGCGGUAGGACAAUGCAGAACAAGAGGAAGACAAGGUCAGCGGGAGUGCAUCUGGGAGGACAGCACUCGGUUGCGGUGGAUGUCCUACUAACCGGUUUCUGAAGAUGAAGGAAAACAUUUAACAAAUCCCUACAUGCCUCAUUCUCAGGAUGCCCUGUUCCUUAUCAGAUGUAUCCAGAUUUCUUCCGACGUACAGUAUACAAACCUCAGUGAUAAACACCAGAGGCCUGGAAAGAACUAAAUGGCCUGGGGUUGCCUUGUUCUAAUGCAUCAUGAGGUGGCCCAGAGAGAUGACCUUAGCACUCCCCUGUGUGAUGGCAAAACCUCCACUGAUUAUGAACCUAAUGAAGUGAACCCUGGGUCCCCCAACCGGGGGGCAUAGUCUGCUAGACUACUUCUGGAGAUGCCAGGCCAGGACAGGGAUGGCGGGAGGAAACGGUGCCCAGCACUGAUAAGCCACGCCCUUCCUUUGUCCCAGGCACACUUCAAUGUCUGCUAUGUCUUUGCACUGGGAAUCCUCAGGGGAGAGACAGAGAACAGACAGACAGACAGGGUGGAGGGGCCACUUCCUGGUGCCAAGGAGCCUCUUAACCCUUCCCCACCUUUCUUCACUUCCCCUCGCUGGGGAACCAUCGGCACUAUAAAGAAACCUCAGCUAUAACAAUAAACUGCAUAUAUGUGAUAGAUGUGCACAUAUAAUAUAAAAUAUGUGUGAAUGUAGCCAUCUGGUUUACAGUCUGGCCUGUGUCUUCUCAAAGCCACAUAGUAUUGUAUUUAUCCCCUCCCUUGUUGAUGGACACUGAAGUUGUUCCUGAGUUUUUGCUAUUGCAAACGAGUAUCUAGACACUGUGCGCAUGUGUGAAUGUUUCUUGAGGAUUCAUUCCUAGAGAAGAGAUUCCUGGCUCAAAAUGCCCAUGAAUUUUUCAUUUUGAAAAAUUGUGCCAAGUUAGAGUGGAGACCUUUUCCCUGUGAAGGAGCCUUCUCUCUCUAGGGCUUAACCAGAGAUGAAAGAUACCUAGGCCAGAAAGAUUGCAGGGUUUCCAUUGGGCAAGGGCAUGUUCAAGUCCUGGCUCUGCCACCUUCCUGUGUGACUUUGAUUAAAUCACUUAAUCUCUGUCCAUCCGUCUGUCUGUCCGUCCGUCUGUCUGUUCUCUCCUCCUCUUCCCUCCCUCCCUUUCCCUCACCCUCCCUU